GACGAACGCUGGCGGCGUGCUUAACACAUGCAAGUCGAACGGUGACGGUCAAGUUUGUUUGGCCUGAUCAGUGGCGAACGGGUGAGUAACACGUGAGUAACCUGCCCCAGACUCUGGGAUAACCCCGGGAAACCGGAGCUAAUACCGGAUAUGACACCAGGUCGCAUGGCCAUGGUGUGGAAAGUUUUUCGGUCUGGGAUGGACUCGCGGCCUAUCAGCUUGUUGGUGAGGUAGUGGCUCACCAAGGCGACGACGGGUAGCCGGCCUGAGAGGGCGGCCGGCCACACUGGGACUGAGACACGGCCCAGACUCCUACGGGAGGCAGCAGUGGGGAAUAUUGCACAAUGGGCGGAAGCCUGAUGCAGCGACGCCGCGUGAGGGAUGACGGCCUUCGGGUUGUAAACCUCUUUCAGCAGGGAAGAAGCGCAAGUGACGGUACCUGCAGAAGAAGCACCGGCUAACUACGUGCCAGCAGCUGCGGUAAUACGUAGGGUGCGAGCGUUGUCCGGAAUUAUUGGGCGUAAAGAGCUUGUAGGUGGUUUGUCGCGUCUGCUGUGAAAAUCCGAGGCUCAACCUCGGACUUGCAGUGGGUACGGGCAGACUAGAGUGUGGUAGGGGAGACUGGAAUUCCUGGUGUAGCGGUGGAAUGCGCAGAUAUCAGGAGGAACACCGAUGGCGAAGGCAGGUCUCUGGGCCAUUACUGACACUGAGAAGCGAAAGCAUGGGGAGCGAACAGGAUUAGAUACCCUGGUAGUCCAUGCCGUAAACGUUGGGAACUAGGUGUGGGUCUCAUUUUAUGAGAUCCGUGCCGCAGCUAACGCAUUAAGUUCCCCGCCUGGGGAGUACGGCCGCAAGGCUA
Molecule: ribosomal RNA, 859 nt
Filed under: uncultured bacterium
Lineage: Bacteria
Description: bacterial SSU rRNA
Rfam family: Bacterial small subunit ribosomal RNA
Source: RNAcentral